Molecule: ribosomal RNA, 603 nt
Filed under: uncultured bacterium
Lineage: Bacteria
Description: bacterial SSU rRNA
Rfam family: Bacterial small subunit ribosomal RNA
Source: RNAcentral
CGUGCUUAACACAUGCAAGUCGAACGAACCUUCGGGUUAGUGGCGGACGGGUGAGUAACGCGUGAGAAUCUGCCCUCAGGAGGGGGACAACAGCUGGAAACGGCUGCUAAUACCCCAUAUGCCGCGAGGUGAAAUGAAUUUCGCCUGAGGAUGAGCUCGCGUCUGAUUAGCUAGUUGGUGUAGGUAAUGGCUCACCAAGGCAUCGAUCAGUAGCUGGUCUGAGAGGAUGAUCAGCCACACUGGGACUGAGACACGGCCCAGACUCCUACGGGAGGCAGCAGUGGGGAAUUUUCCGCAAUGGGCGAAAGCCUGACGGAGCAACGCCGCGUGAGGGAUGAAGGCCUCUGGGCUGUAAACCUCUUUUAUCAAGGAAGAAGAUCUGACGGUACUUGAUGAAUAAGCCACGGCUAAUUCCGUGCCAGCAGCCGCGGUAAUACGGGAGUGGCAAGCGUUAUCCGGAAUUAUUGGGCGUAAAGCGUCCGCAGGCGGCCCUUCAAGUCUGCUGUUAAAAAGUGGAGCUUAACUCCAUCAUGGCAGUGGAAACUGUUGGGCUUGAGUGUGGUANGGGCAGAGGGAAUUCCCGGUGUAGCGAUGAAAUGCGUA